Molecule: ribosomal RNA, 670 nt
Filed under: Streptomyces sp. Sp080513KE-01
Lineage: Bacteria; Bacillati; Actinomycetota; Actinomycetes; Kitasatosporales; Streptomycetaceae
Description: bacterial SSU rRNA
Rfam family: Bacterial small subunit ribosomal RNA
Source: RNAcentral
GGACGAACGCUGGCGGCGUGCUUAACACAUGCAAGUCGAACGAUGAACCGGUUUCGGCCGGGGAUUAGUGGCGAACGGGUGAGUAACACGUGGGCAAUCUGCCCUGCACUCUGGGACAAGCCCUGGAAACGGGGUCUAAUACCGGAUACGACGCGUUCCCGCAUGGGAUACGCGUGGAAAGCUCCGGCGGUGCAGGAUGAGCCCGCGGCCUAUCAGCUUGUUGGUGGGGUGAUGGCCUACCAAGGCGACGACGGGUAGCCGGCCUGAGAGGGCGACCGGCCACACUGGGACUGAGACACGGCCCAGACUCCUACGGGAGGCAGCAGUGGGGAAUAUUGCACAAUGGGCGCAAGCCUGAUGCAGCGACGCCGCGUGAGGGAUGACGGCCUUCGGGUUGUAAACCUCUUUCAGCAGGGAAGAAGCGAAAGUGACGGUACCUGCAGAAGAAGCGCCGGCUAACUACGUGCCAGCAGCCGCGGUAAUACGUAGGGCGCAAGCGUUGUCCGGAAUUAUUGGGCGUAAAGAGCUCGUAGGCGGCUUGUCGCGUCGGAUGUGAAAGCCCGGGGCUUAACCCCGGGUCUGCAUUCGAUACGGGCAGGCUAGAGUUCGGUAGGGGAGAUCGGAAUUCCUGGUGUAGCGGUGAAAUGCGCAGAUAUCAGGAGGAACACCG